CUAUGAAUGAAGUAUGGUAAUGUGCACAGAAAAUAAUUUGGGUUUCUAGACUUGUCCUCUCUGAUGUCUUUCGGCUUUUGAUUUGAUUUGGGGGUAUGAUUAAUUCCACAACA
Molecule: small nucleolar RNA, 113 nt
Organism: Rhododendron vialii
Lineage: Eukaryota; Viridiplantae; Streptophyta; Magnoliopsida; Ericales; Ericaceae
Product: small nucleolar RNA snoR100
Exons: 1
Source: RefSeq, a predicted model, not a curated record